This 760-nucleotide ribosomal RNA is filed under the name uncultured bacterium. RNAcentral's name for it is "bacterial SSU rRNA". It matches the Rfam family "Bacterial small subunit ribosomal RNA", at positions 9 to 762 of the family's 1533-position model. The record is from RNAcentral.
GAGUUUGAUCCUGGCUCAGGAUGAACGCUAGCGGCAGGCCUAACACAUGCAAGUCGAGGGGUAACAUAGUAGCUUGCUACUGAUGACGACCGGCGCACGGGUGCGCACCGCGUAUGGAACCUACCUUUUACAGGGGAAUAGCCUUUGGAAACGAAGAUUAAUGCCCCAUAGUAUCCUUAUACAGCGUUGUAUUUUGAUUAAAGCCUUCGGGCGGUAGAAGAUGGCCAUGCGUCCCAUUAGUUUGUUGGUAAGGUAACGGCUUACCAAGACUACGAUGGGUAGGGGCCCUGAGAGGGGGAUCCCCCACACUGGUACUGAGACACGGACCAGACUCCUACGGGAGGCAGCAGUGAGGAAUAUUGGACAAUGGAGGAGACUCUGAUCCAGCCAUGCCGCGUGCAGGGAGAAUGCCCUAUGGGUAGUAAACUGCUUUUAUACAGGAAGAAAAAGAGCUACGUGUAGCUUAUUGACGGUACUGUAAGAAUAAGGACCGGCUAACUCCGUGCCAGCAGCCGCGGUAAUACGGAGGGUCCGAGCGUUAUCCGGAAUUAUUGGGUUUAAAGGGUCCGUAGGCGGGCGAUUAAGUCAGUGGUGAAAGUCUGCAGCUCAACUGUAGAAUUGCCUUUGAUACUGGUCGUCUUGAGUUAUAGUGAAGUUGCCGGAAUAUGUAGUGUAGCGGUGAAAUGCAUAGAUAUUACAUAGAACACCGAUUGCGAAGGCAGGUGACUAACUAUAUACUGACGCUGAUGGACGAAAGCGU